UGCAUAGGAAUCUGCCUGGUAGUGGGGGAUAGCCCGGGGAAACCCGGAUUAAUACCGCAUACGCCCUACGGGGGAAAGGAUGGGAGUCUUCGGACCAUCUGCUAUCAGAUGAGCCUAUGUCGGAUUAGCUAGUUGGUGGGGUAAAGGCUCACCAAGGCGACGAUCCGUAACUGGUCUGAGAGGAUGAUCAGUCACACUGGAACUGAGACACGGUCCAGACUCCUACGGGAGGCAGCAGUGGGGAAUAUUGGGCAAUGGGGGCAACCCUAAUCCAGCCAUGCCGCGUGUAUGAAGAAGGCC
This 300-nucleotide ribosomal RNA is filed under the name uncultured Hahella sp. Its description in RNAcentral is "bacterial SSU rRNA". It matches the Rfam family "Bacterial small subunit ribosomal RNA", at positions 114 to 416 of the family's 1533-position model. Lineage: Bacteria; Pseudomonadati; Pseudomonadota; Gammaproteobacteria; Oceanospirillales; Hahellaceae. The record is from RNAcentral.